ACGAUUAAUCCACGACGACCAGGAGCGCUGCCCCGAGCCACACGCCCACACGCACUGGUGAAUCUUCUCCUUUCCACCUAGUUUUCACUCUGCAGUCUCCUCUCCUAGCUACUACUCUGCCUUCCCAUCCUCGCUUGUUGCAGCCCUCUUGCACACGCCAUUGGCCACAGUCCAAGGACUGCUCCUGUUCCGAUGGAGGAGGUGGAAGCCGGUUGGCUGGAGGGCGGGAUCAGGUGGCUGGCGGAGACCAUCCUGGAUAACCUGGACGCCGACAAGCUGGAUGAAUGGAUUCGCCAGAUUAGGCUCGCCGCUGACACCGAGAAGCUACGGGCUGAGAUCGAGAAGGUGGAUGGGGUGGUGGCUGCCGUGAAGGGGAGGGCGAUCGGGAACAGGUCGCUGGCCCGAUCGCUCGGCCGUCUCAGGGGGUUGCUGUACGACGCCGACGAUGCGGUCGACGAGCUCGACUACUUCAGGCUCCAGCAGCAGGUCGAGGGAGGAGUUACUACACGGUUUGAGGCUGAAGAGACGGUCGGAGAUGGAGCAGAGGACGAGGACGAUAUUCCGAUGGACAAUACUGAUGUACCGGAGGCAGUGGCGGCAGGCAGCAGCAAGAAACGGUCCAAGGCAUGGGAACACUUUACUACCGUAGAGUUCACUGCUGACGGGAAGGAUUCUAAAGCACGGUGCAAGUACUGCCACAAGGACCUAUGUUGCACAUCUAAGAACGGGACAUCAGCUUUGCGCAACCAUCUCAAUGUUUGCAAGAGGAAACGUGUAACAAGUACUGACCAACCGGUAAAUCCAUCAAGUGCCGGUGAGGGUGCAUCAAAUGCAACUGGUAAUUCAGUUGGCAGAAAAAGGAUGAGAAUGGAUGGGACUUCAACACACCACGAGGCAGUUAGCACGCACCCUUGGAACAAGGCUGAACUUUCCAACAGGAUCCAAUGCAUGACUCAUCAGUUAGAAGAGGCUGUAAAUGAGGUUAUGAGGCUAUGUCGAUCCUCAAGUUCAAACCAGAGUCGACAGGGUACACCACCGGCCACAAAUGCAACAACAUCGUCUUAUCUUCCGGAGCCCAUAGUGUAUGGGAGGGCUGCAGAGAUGGAAACCAUCAAACAGCUGAUCAUGAGCAAUAGAUCUAAUGGCAUAACCGUCCUGCCAAUUGUAGGCAAUGGAGGGAUAGGAAAAACCACUUUGGCGCAACUGGUCUGCAAAGAUCUGGUAAUUAAAAGUCAGUUUAAUGUUAAGAUAUGGGUGUAUGUAUCUGAUAAAUUUGAUGUAGUUAAGAUUACAAGGCAGAUUUUGGAUCAUGUCUCCAACCAGAGCCACGAAGGAAUAAGCAACCUUGAUACGCUUCAGCAGGAUCUUGAGGAACAAAUGAAAUCUAAGAAGUUCCUCAUUGUCUUAGAUGAUGUGUGGGAAAUCCGUACAGAUGACUGGAAAAAACUACUGGCUCCUUUAAGACCUAAUGAUCAGGUGAAUUCGUCACAGGAAGAGGCAACAGGUAAUAUGAUAAUUUUGACAACUCGUAUACAGAGUAUUGCCAAAAGUCUUGGAACAGUACAAUCAAUUAAGUUAGAAGCUCUGAAAGAUGACGAUAUAUGGUCACUAUUUAAAGUGCAUGCUUUUGGUAAUGAUAAACAUGAUAGUAGUCCAGGCUUACAGGUUCUUGGGAAGCAAAUUGCUAGCGAGCUAAAAGGCAACCCACUGGCAGCAAAAACUGUGGGUUCACUAUUAGGAACGAAUCUUACCAUCGAUCAUUGGGAUAGCAUUAUAAAGAGUGAAGAAUGGAAAUCCCUGCAACAAGCUUAUGGCAUCAUGCAAGCGCUGAAGUUGUGCUAUGAUCAUCUAUCCAACCCCUUACAGCAAUGCGUCUCUUAUUGUUCUCUUUUCCCCAAGGGUUAUUCUUUCAGCAAAGCACAACUAAUACAAAUAUGGAUUGCUCAAGGAUUUGUGGAAGAAUCCAGUGAGAAGUUGGAGCAGAAAGGAUGGAAAUAUCUAGCUGAGUUGGUAAAUUCGGGUUUCCUUCAGCAAGUUGAAAGCACACGGUUUUCAUCAGAAUAUUUUGUUGUGCACGAUCUUAUGCAUGAUUUAGCGCAAAAGGUUUCACAAACAGAAUAUGCAACUAUAGAUGGCUCAGAGUGCACAGAGUUAGCCCCAAGUAUACGCCAUUUGUCAAUAGUAACUGAUUCUGCAUACCGCAAGGAGAAAUAUAGAAACAUAUCUCGUAAUGAGGUGUUUGAGAAAAGGUUGAUGAAAGUUAAGUCAAGGAGUAAGUUGAGGUCACUGGUAUUAAUUGGGCAAUAUGAUUCUCAUUUUUUUAAAUAUUUCAAAGAUGCUUUCAAGGAAGCACAACAUCUGCGACUGCUGCAGAUCACUGCAACUUAUGCUGAUUCUGAUUCAUUUCUCUCCAGUUUGGUAAAUUCUACACAUCUCCGGUAUCUGAAAAUUGUGACUGAAGAAUCCGGCAGAACUUUGCCCCGAUCUCUAAGGAAGUAUUACCAUCUUCAAGUACUAGAUAUUGGCUAUAGAUUUGGAAUUCCCCGUAUAUCUAAUGAUAUAAAUAAUCUUCUCAGCCUGCGGCAUCUUGUUGCAUAUGAUGAAGUGUGUUCUUCCAUUGCUAACAUUGGUAAAAUGACCUCACUUCAGGAACUAGGCAAUUUUAUUGUUCAGAAUAAUUUAAGUGGUUUUGAGGUGACACAAUUGAAAUCCAUGAACAAGCUUGUACAACUUAGUGUGUCUCAACUUGAAAAUGUUAGAACUCAGGAGGAGGCAUGUGGGGCAAAACUGAAAGACAAACAACACUUAGAAAAGCUACAUUUGUCCUGGAAGGAUGCAUGGAAUGGAUAUGACAGUGACGAAAGCUAUGAAGAUGAAUACGGCAGUGAUAUGAAUAUAGAAACAGAAGGGGAGGAACUGUCAGUUGGUGAUGCCAAUGGUGCCCAAAGCUUACAACAUCACAGUAAUAUAAGCUCUGAACUUGCUUCAAGUGAGGUGCUCGAAGGUCUUGAACCACAUCACGGCCUCAAGUAUCUACGGAUAUCUGGGUAUAAUGGAUCUACCUCCCCAACUUGGCUUCCUUCUUCACUUACCUGUCUGCAAACACUUCAUCUAGAAAAAUGUGGAAAAUGGCAAAUACUUCCUUUAGAAAGGCUAGGGUUACUUGUAAAGCUCGUGUUGAUCAAAAUGAGGAAUGCAACAGAACUCUCAAUCCCUUCACUGGAGGAGCUUGUGUUAAUUGCAUUGCCAAGCUUGAACACAUGCUCCUGCACUUCCAUCAGGAACUUGAACUCCAGUUUAAAGGUUCUGAAAAUUAAGAAUUGCCCUGUACUGAAGGUAUUUCCCUUGUUUGAGAUUUGCCAGAAAUUUGAAAUCGAGCGGACGUCGUCAUGGUUGCCCCAUCUUAGCAAGCUUACCAUCUAUAAUUGUCCUCUUUCCUGUGUGCACAGUUCUCUGCCACCUUCAUCUAUUGUUUCCAAAUUAUCGAUCGGUAAAGUUUCAACACUUCCAACGGUGAGGGGGUCAUCUAGUGGAACAUUAAUAAUUGGACUGCACCCCGAUGAAGUUGAUGAUGAUGAUGGUUUGGAGGAUUCUGAUCAGCUGAAAACGUUGGAUGACAAAGUACUAUUAUUCCAUAACCUGAGGUUCCUAACUAGCUUGGCAAUAUAUGGUUGUCGAAAUCUUGCGACUAUUUCAAUUGAAAGUUUAAGGCAACUCGUUUGUUUGAAGAGUUUGGAAUUAUACGGCUGCCCAAAACUUUUCUCUUCAGAUGUUCCACCAGAGCUUACAUGUGAAUAUAUGUCAGGAGCAAAUCACAGCGCCCUCCCAUCUCUCGAAUGUCUCUAUAUUGAGGAUUGUGGAAUAACGGGGAAGUGGCUGUCUCUGAUGUUGCAACAUGUGCAGGCCCUACAGGAACUGAGUUUAGAGGACUGCCAGCAGAUAACAAGGCUAUCGAUAGGAGAGGAAGAAAACAGUCAACCAAAUCUUAUGUCAGCUAUGGAGGAUCCGUCAUUAGGAUAUCCAGAUCGAGACGAACUUCUGCGCCUUCCGUUAAAUCUCAUCUCUUCUCUGAAAAAGGUAUCUAUUACAUAUUGCUAUGAUUUAACAUUCUACGGCAGCAAGGUAGAUUUCGCUGGAUUUACCUCCCUUGAGGAGUUAGUGAUUUCACGAUGCCCCAAGCUGGUGUCGUUCUUGGCGCAUAACGACGGAAAUGAUGAACAGUCGAAUGGAAGAUGGCUCCUACCGCUAUCACUUGGAAAACUUGAGAUUAACUAUGUUGAUUCCCUAAAAACGCUGCAGCUCUGCUUUCCGGGGAACCUCACCCGCCUGAAAAAACUAGUAGUGUUGGGAAACCAAAGUUUAACAUCUCUGCAGCUCCAUUCCUGCACAGCACUCCAAGAGUUGAUAAUUCGAAGCUGUGAGUCGCUUAAUUCUCUGGAAGGCUUGCAAUUGCUCGGCAAUCUCAGGUUGCUGUGUGCACACAGAUGCCUCAGCGGCCAUGAAGAAGAUGGAAUGUGUAUCCUUCCGCAAUCACUUGAGGAAAUUUACAUCUGCGAGUACUCUCAAGAGAGGCUGCAGCUCUGCUUUCCAGGAAGCCUCACCCGCCUGAAAAAACUAGUAGUGUUGGGAAACCAAAGUUUAACAUCUCUGCAGCUCCAUUCCUGCACAGCACUCCAAGAGUUGAUAAUUCAAAGCUGUGAGUCGCUUAAUUCUCUGGAAGGCUUGCAAUGGCUCGGCAACCUCAGGUUGCUGCAGGCACACAGAUGCCUCAGUGGUUAUGGAGAAAAUGGAAGGUGUAUCCUUCCACAAUCACUUGAGGAACUUUACAUCAGAGAGUAUUCUCAAGAAACGCUGCAGCCCUGCUUUCCAGGGAACCUCACCAGCUUGAAAAAACUAGAAGUACAGGGAAGCCAAAAGUUAAUAUCUCUGCAGCUGUAUUCCUGCACAGCACUCCAAGAGUUGAUGAUUGAAAGUUGUGUGUCGCUUAAUUCUCUGGAAGGCCUGCAAUGGCUCGUCAACCUCAGGUUGCUGCGGGCACACAGAUGCCUCAGUGGUUAUGGAGAAAAUGGAAGGUGUAUCCUUCCACAAUCACUUGAGGGACUUUACAUCAGAGAGUAUUCUCAAGAAAUUCUACAGCCCUGCUUCCAGACGAAUCUCACUUGCUUAAAAAGAUUAGAGGUAUCAGGCACUGGAAGUUUCAAAUCUCUGGAGUUGCAAUCAUGCACUGCACUCGAACAUUUGAAGAUUGAAGGUUGUUCAUCACUUGCCACAUUAGAGGGCUUGCGAUUCCUCCACACCCUCAGGCAUUUGAAAGUACACAGAUGUCCCAGAUUGCCUCCAUAUUUUGAGAGUUUGUCAGGACAGGGCUAUGAGCUAUGCCCACGACUGGAAAGGCUCGAGAUCAAUUAUCCCUCAAUCCUUACCACGUCGUUUUGCAAGAACCUCACCUCUCUACAAUACCUAGAGCUUUGCAAUCACGGAUUGGAAAUGGAAAGACUAACGGACGAGGAAGAGAGAGCGCUUCAACUCCUCACUUCCCUGCAAGAGCUCCGAUUUAACUGUUGCUACAAUCUCGUAGAUCUUCCCACAGGGCUCCACAACCUUCCCUCCCUCAAGAGGUUGGAGAUCUGGAAUUGCGGGAGCAUCGCGAGGCCGCUGGAAAAGGGUCUCCCACCUUCGUUGGAAGAACUGGCUAUCGUAGAUUGCAGUAAUGAGCUAGCUCAGCAGUGCAGAUUGCUAGCAAGCAAGCGGAAGGUCAAAAUUAAUCAGAGAUAUGUGAAUUGAUUACUCGGUGGCUUUUUCCACCUGCCCAACUGGCAUGGGCUCGUUCAGGCGUUCAAGCUGCUGUAAAUUCCAUUGCCGCAAUGACGACCUUCAGAACCGUUACACAAUACAAAGGACAUAUGAUGGCUAGAUCAACUGUCGCAGAGCUAGCUUUGGUUCACCUGAAAACAUAAGGCCAAACGCGUGGUUCUUUUAAUCAGAAGUAUCAAAAAUUGGUUUUGGUUUUUAACGAAAAGAUGUUAGAAAUUGGUUUUAAUGUGCCAGAUUCUGUACCAGAAUUCUGUAUUUUGCUCCGUAAUUCUGUGCUACGACUGAUGUUGUAUUUAACUGAUAGCAAUCGACCGGCAAAACCAAUCCGCUCCAAUGCAUUGUCACAUACAAAUUCUAUAAUUCUAUCUACUGAAAAGGAUGAUUGCUGUUCAUUUUCGUGAUUACAGAAGGAACUGUGUAUAUCGUGCUAUUUUUGCAUUCACAUUGUGUCCCAGGUUGUGCUCGGAUCAGCCAAUUUCGGUGGUUAAUUCACUUUGCUGUGUCCUCUGUGCACUCAAGAAUUGUUCGCACAUGCAAUUCAGUUGAGCAUCGCACUACGCAAGUUUUUUUUUUGUUAACAAAGGAGUGGUUGACAGCAUUGCAGGUUGCUAAAACAGUGUCAAAAAUUUGCUAACAAAAGAAUUCUCUUCAGAAAUAGUAUGAAAAUAAAUGCCACAUAAGUAAUCUGAGUAAAACAGACAUAAUCACUAGAGAAGACUAACGACAAACUCUUCUUUUUCUAUUUCUGUGGUGAAAAACUCAGCAUAUAAUCUCAUGUAUGCAUUGGAGGUGCAUACCAUUUCGAUCAUGUAUGCAUUUAGCUGAACAUUAUCAAGAAGCAAAUUUAUUGCACGGGCAAACAUAAGCUAAACUAAUUCUCAAGCAAUUUAAUAAUCACAAAACAGUCUGCAAUACCAAGAUAUAUAAAACUUUUGCCAGCAUGGAGCAACAGCACUGAAACACUACAAUCAAGACAGCUCCCAGAAAAGAUUAUAUGUUGCUACUUCAAUUGCCACAGUUACAAUCACCCAUAAUGACACAUCAAAUUACGUAAGAGUAUUAAGAGUAUAUGACAGUUGUAACAAAACAACUGCAUUGAGAACUAGAAGAACAGACAGCCACAUGAACCAUAUUCACUUCUUCAGAUCAGAAAGCCUGGUGAACUACCAGUCUACCAAUUGCUACCGUAGUCUCCAUUUUUCACUUAUAUGUACAUAGGACACCUGCGCUAUCAGAAUAGCCACAAAGCCAGUUCACUCGCUACAAA
Oryza sativa Japonica Group (Japanese rice) is the source of this 7081-nucleotide non-coding RNA. The record is from RefSeq and is a predicted model, not a curated record. NCBI's taxonomy places the organism in Eukaryota, Viridiplantae, Streptophyta, Magnoliopsida, Poales, Poaceae.